This is a non-coding RNA of Dendrothele bispora CBS 962.96, 92 nucleotides long. NCBI's taxonomy places the organism in Eukaryota, Fungi, Basidiomycota, Agaricomycetes, Agaricales. The record is from the annotation of a GenBank genome assembly.
GGGCACAUGGUGUAGUUGGUUAUCACAUCCGCUUAGCAUUUCGUGUGUAUCUGCCAUGCGGGGGGUGCUGGGUUCAAUUCCCAGUGUGUCCA